CUACGGGAGGCAGCAGUGGGGAAUCUUGGACAAUGGGCGAAAGCCUGAUCCAGCCAUGCCGCGUGAGUGAAGAAGGCCUUAGGGUUGUAAGACUCUUUCGCCGGUGAAGAUAAUGACGGUAGCCGGAGAAGAAGCCCCGGCUAACUUCGUGCCAGCAGCCGCGGUAAUACGAAGGGGGCUAGCGUUGUUCGGAAUUACUGGGCGUAAAGCGCACGUAGGCGGAUUGGAAAGUUGAGGGUGAAAUCCCAGGGCUCAACCCUGGAACUGCCUUCAAAACUUCUAAUCUUGAGAUCAGUAGAGGCGAGCGGAAUACCGAGUGUAGAGGUGAAAUUCGUAGAUAUUCGGUGGAACACCAGUGGCGAAGGCGGCUCGCUGGACUGAUACUGACGCUGAGGUGCGAAAGCGUGGGGAGCAAACAGGAUUAGAAACCCUAGUAGUCC
This 440-nucleotide ribosomal RNA is filed under the name uncultured bacterium. RNAcentral's name for it is "bacterial SSU rRNA". It matches the Rfam family "Bacterial small subunit ribosomal RNA", at positions 339 to 796 of the family's 1533-position model. The record is from RNAcentral.